Molecule: ribosomal RNA, 489 nt
Filed under: uncultured bacterium
Lineage: Bacteria
Description: partial 16S ribosomal RNA
Rfam family: Bacterial small subunit ribosomal RNA
Source: RNAcentral
GAUGAACGCUAGCUACAGGCUUAACACAUGCAAGUCGAGGGGCAGCAUGAUUGAAGCUUGCUUCAAUCGAUGGCGACCGGCGCACGGGUGAGUAACACGUAUCCAACCUGCCGAUAACUCGGGGAUAGCCUUUUGAAAGAAAGAUUAAUUCCCGACUGUAUAUUAUUUCCGCAUGGUUUCACUAUUAAAGAAUUUCGGUUAUCGUUGGGGAUGCGUUCCAUUAGAUAGUUGUCGGGGUAACGGCCCACCAAGUCAACGAUGGAUAGGGGUUCUGAGAGGAGGGUCCCCGACAGUGGAACUGGGACACGGGCCAAACACCUACGGGAGAGAGCAGUAAGGGAGAUUGGACAAUGGACGAGAGUCUAGACCAGCCAAGUAGCGUGAAGGAUGACUGCCCUAGGGGUUGUAAACUUCUUGUAUACGGGAAUAAAGUGGAGUAUGCAUACUCCUUUGUAUGUACCGUAUGAAUAAGGAUCGGCUAACUCCGUG